This 332-nucleotide unclassified non-coding RNA is filed under the name soil metagenome. Its description in RNAcentral is "partial contains 5.8S ribosomal RNA, internal transcribed spacer 2, and large subunit ribosomal RNA". The stretch from base 1 to 120 matches the Rfam family "5.8S ribosomal RNA", at positions 35 to 154 of the family's 154-position model. The record is from RNAcentral.
GAUGAAGAACGUAGCGAAAUGCGAUAAGUAAUGUGAAUUGCAGAAUUCAGUGAAUCAUCGAAUCUUUGAACGCCCAUUGCGCCCCCUGGUAUUCCGGGGGGCAUGCCUGUUCGAGCGUCAUUUCACCACUCAAGCCUCGCUUGGUAUUGGGCGACGCGGUCCGCCGCGCGCCUCAAAUCGACCGGCUGGGUCUUUCGUCCCCUCAGCGUUGUGGAAACUAUUCGCUAAAGGGUGCCGCGGGAGGCCACGCCGUAAAACAACCCCAUUUCUAAGGUUGACCUCGGAUCAGGUAGGGAUACCCGCUGAACUUAAGCAUAUCAAUAAGCGGAGGA